AUAUACGACCGUACCGCAAACCGACACUGGUGCGCGAGAUGAGUAUUCUAAGGCGCUUGAGAGAACUCAGGAGAAGGAACUCGGCAAAUUGACACCGUAACUUCGGAAGAAGGUGUGCCCUAUUAGUGUGUAGUGAACAACGAAGCAUGGAUGGGUUGCAAAAAAUCGGUGGCUGCGACUGUUUAUUAAAAACACAGCACUCUGCAAACACGAAAGUGGACGUAUAGGGUGUGACGCCUGCCCGGUGCUGGAAGAUUAAAUGAUGGGGUGCAAGCUCUUGAUUGAAGUCCCAGUAAACGGCGGCCGUAACAAUAACGGUCCUAAGGUAGCGAAAUUCCUUGUCGGGUAAGUUCCGACCUGCACGAAUGGCGUAACGAUGGCCACACUGUCUCCUCCUGAGACUCAGCGAAGUUGAAAUGUUUGUGAUGAUGCAAUCUCCCCGCGGAAAGACGGAAAGACCCCAUGAACCUUUACUGUAGCUUUGUAUUGGACUUUGAACAGAUCUGUGUAGGAUAGGUGGGAGGCUUUGAAGCAGGGUCGCUAGAUCUUGUGGAGCCAACGUUGAAAUACCACCCUGGUGUGUUUGAGGUUCUAACCUAGGUCCAUUAUCUGGAUCGGGGACAGUGCAUGGUAGGCAGUUUGACUGGGGCGGUCUCCUCCCAAAGCGUAACGGAGGAGUUCGAAGGUACGCUAGUUACGGUCGGACAUCGUGACGAUAGUGCAAUGGCAUAAGCGUGCUUAACUGCGAGACUGACAAGUCGAGCAGAUGCGAAAGCAGGACAUAGUGAUCCGGUGGUUCUGUAUGGAAGGGCCAUCGCUCAACGGAUAAAAGGUACUCUGGGGAUAACAGGCUGAUACCGCCCAAGAGUUCAUAUCGACGGCGGUGUUUGGCACCUCGAUGUCGGCUCAUCUCAUCCUGGGGCUGUAGCCGGUCCCAAGGGUAUGGCUGUUCGCCAUUUAAAGAGGUACGUGAGCUGGGUUUAAAACGUCGUGAGACAGUUUGGUCCCUAUCUUCCGUGGGCGCUGCAGAUUUGAGGAAGCCUGCUCCUAGUACGAGAGGACCGGAGUGGACACACCUCUGGUGUAUCGGUUGUCACGCCAGUGGCAUUGCCGAGUAGCUAAGUGUGGAAGAGAUAACCGCUGAAAGCAUCUAAGCGGGAAACUCGUUUCAAGAUGAGAUCUGCCGGGGCCUUGAGCCCCCUAAAGAGUCGUUCAAGACCAGGACGUUGAUAGGUCAGGUGUGGAAGCUAAAGA
Molecule: ribosomal RNA, 1254 nt
Filed under: metagenome
Description: bacterial LSU rRNA
Rfam family: Bacterial large subunit ribosomal RNA
Source: RNAcentral